UACGUAGGUGGCAAGCGUUGUCCGGAUUUACUGGGUGUAAAGGGCGUGUAGCCGGGCUUACAAGUCAGAUGUGAAAUCCGGGGGCUCAACCCCCGAACUGCAUUUGAAACUGUAGGUCUUGAGUAUCGGAGAGGCAGGCGGAAUUCCUAGUGUAGCGGUGAAAUGCGUAGAUAUUAGGAGGAACACCAGUGGCGAAGGCGGCCUGCUGGACGACAACUGACGGUGGGGCGCGAAAGCGUGGGGAGCAAACAGG
Molecule: ribosomal RNA, 253 nt
Filed under: uncultured bacterium
Lineage: Bacteria
Description: partial 16S ribosomal RNA
Rfam family: Bacterial small subunit ribosomal RNA
Source: RNAcentral